This 253-nucleotide ribosomal RNA is filed under the name uncultured bacterium. Its description in RNAcentral is "partial 16S ribosomal RNA". It matches the Rfam family "Bacterial small subunit ribosomal RNA", at positions 524 to 776 of the family's 1533-position model. The record is from RNAcentral.
GACGAACCGUGCGAGCGUUGUUCGGAAUCACUGGGCUUAAAGGGCGCGUAGGCGGUCAGGUCAGUCCCGUGUGAAAUCCCUCGGCUCAACUGAGGAACUGCACGGGAAACUACCUGGCUUGAGUUCUGGAGAGGGAAGCGGAAUUCCGGGUGCAGCGGUGAAAUGCGUAGAUAUCCGGAGGAACACCGGUGGCGAAGGCGGCUUCCUGGACCGACACUGACGCUGAGGCGCGAAAGCUAGGGGAGCAAACGGG